GAUGAACGCUAGCGGCAGGCUUAAUACAUGCAAGUCGUACGGGAUCCGAGGUAGCAACACUUUGGUGAGAGUGGCGCACGGGUGCGUAACACGUAUGCAACCUACCUAUAACCGGGACACAACCUCGAGAAAUUGAGGCUAAUAUCCCAUAACACUGCGAGAUGGCAUCAUUUUGCAGUUAAAACUCCGGUGGUUAUAGAUGGGCAUGCGCGACAUUAGCUAGUUGGUGAGGUAACGGCCCACCAAGGCUACGAUGUCUAGGGGUUCUGAGAGGAUUAUCCCCCACACUGGUACUGAGACACGGACCAGACUCCUACGGGAGGCAGCAGUAA
Molecule: ribosomal RNA, 332 nt
Filed under: uncultured bacterium
Lineage: Bacteria
Description: bacterial SSU rRNA
Rfam family: Bacterial small subunit ribosomal RNA
Source: RNAcentral